RNAcentral lists this ribosomal RNA (638 nucleotides) under Butyriboletus regius. RNAcentral describes it as "eukaryotic LSU rRNA". It matches the Rfam family "Eukaryotic large subunit ribosomal RNA", at positions 29 to 664 of the family's 3401-position model. The record is from RNAcentral. Lineage: Eukaryota; Fungi; Basidiomycota; Agaricomycetes; Boletales; Boletaceae.
UGAACUUAAGCAUAUCAAUAAGCGGAGGAAAAGAAACUAACAAGGAUUCCCCUAGUAACUGCGAGUGAAGCGGGAAGAGCUCAAAUUUUGAAUCUGGCAGUCCUUGGCUGUCCGAGUUGUAAUCUAGAGAAGUGUUUUCCGCGCUGGACCGUGUAUAAGUCUCCUGGAAGGGAGCGUCGUAGAGGGUGAGAAUCCCGUCUUUGACACGGACUACCAGUGCUAUGUGAUGCGCUCUCGACGAGUCGAGUUGUUUGGGAAUGCAGCUCAAAACGGGUGGUAAACUCCAUCUAAAGCUAAAUACAGGCGAGAGACCGAUAGCGAACAAGUACCGUGAGGGAAAGAUGAAAAGAACUUUGGAAAGAGAGUUAAACAGUACGUGAAAUUGCUGAAAGGGAAACGCUUGAUGUCAGUCGCGUUGGCUGGGGAUCAACCUUGCUUCUCGCUGGGUGUACUUCCCGGUCGACGGGUCAGCAUCAGUUUCAGUCACCGUACAAGGGUGAGAGGAACGUGGCACUCCUCGGAGUGUGUUAUAGCCUUUCGUCGUAUGCGGUGGUCGGGACUGAGGUGCUCAGCACGGCUUCUUGCUUGUGCUUAGGAUGCUGGCAUAAUGGCCUUAAGCGACCCGUCUUGAAACACGG